AGCGAGUGGCGAACUGGUGAGUAACACGUGGGUAACCUGCCCCGAAGCGGGGGAUAACAUUUGGAAACAAGUGCUAAUACCGCAUAAUUAGUUGGAACCGCAUGGUUCCAACUUGAAAGAUGGCUCUGCUAUCACUUUGGGAUGGACCCGCGCCGUAUUAGUUAGUUGGUGAGAUAAAAGCCCACCAAGACGAUGAUACGUAGCCGACCUGAGAGGGUAAUCGGCCACAUUGGGACUGAGACACGGCCCAGACUCCUACGGGAGGCAGCAGUAGGGAAUCUUCCACAAUGGACGAAAGUCUGAUGGAGCAACGCCGCGUGAGUGAUGAAGGUUUUCGGAUCGUAAAACUCUGUUGUUAAAGAAGAACAAGUGUUAGAGUAACUGUUAACACUUUGACGGUAUUUAACCAGAAAGCCACGGCUAACUACGUGCCAGCAGCCGCGGUAAUACGUAGGUGGCAAGCGUUGUCCGGAUUUAUUGNNCGUAAAGCGAGCGCAGGCGGUUUUGUAAGUCUGCUGUGAAAGCCCUCAUCUCAACUGAGGAAGUGCAGUGGAAACUACAAAACUUGACUACACAAGAGGACNGCGGAACUCCAUGU
RNAcentral lists this ribosomal RNA (598 nucleotides) under Apilactobacillus kunkeei. RNAcentral describes it as "bacterial SSU rRNA". It matches the Rfam family "Bacterial small subunit ribosomal RNA", at positions 90 to 674 of the family's 1533-position model. Lineage: Bacteria; Bacillati; Bacillota; Bacilli; Lactobacillales; Lactobacillaceae. The record is from RNAcentral.